This 507-nucleotide ribosomal RNA is filed under the name Gromphadorhina portentosa (giant Madagascar hissing cockroach). Its description in RNAcentral is "partial 16S ribosomal RNA". It matches the Rfam family "Bacterial large subunit ribosomal RNA", at positions 1831 to 2597 of the family's 2925-position model. The record is from RNAcentral. Lineage: Eukaryota; Metazoa; Arthropoda; Insecta; Blattodea; Blaberidae.
CUCUUCUUGUAUUAUUUAUGAAGUAUGGCCUGCCCAAUGAGUUUUGAAUGGCCGCGGUAUCUUGACCGUGCAAAGGUAGCAUAAUCAUUAGUCUUUUUAUUGGGGACUGGAAUGAAUGGUUUGACGAGAUAAGAUCUGUCUUUAUAUUAUUUAGUAGAAUUUAAUUUCUGAGUAAAAAAGCUUAGAUAUAAUUAUGGGACGAGAAGACCCUAUAGAGUUUAUAUAAUAAUAAUUUUGUUUAUAAAUAGUAUGUUUAUUAAUAUUAAUUAUAAUUAUUUAGUUGGGGUGAUUGGAAGAUAAUAGUAACUCUUCUUGAUUAAUAAAUAUUAAUUAGUAGUAUUUUGAUCCAUUAUUAAUGAUUAAAAGACUAAAUUACCUUAGGGAUAACAGCGUAAUCUUUUUUGAGAGUUCUAAUUGACAAUAAGGGUUGCGACCUCGAUGUUGGAUUAAGAUAAGUUCUGUGUGUAGAAGCUUGGAGAUAUAGGUCUGUUCGACCUUUAAACUCUU